This is a long non-coding RNA of Diceros bicornis minor, 717 nucleotides long. RefSeq lists it as uncharacterized. Lineage: Eukaryota; Metazoa; Chordata; Mammalia; Perissodactyla; Rhinocerotidae. The transcript has 2 exons. The record is from RefSeq and is a predicted model, not a curated record.
CCAGGACCCCGAGACACCCGAGCGCGAGCGGCGGCUGCUGCUUGCUUGCUCCCGUCUCCCCGCGGCCCCUCCCUUCGGCGACCUACCCGCUCGUUGCAGCCCUCGCCCGCACCUUCUCCGACACCCCGGCGUCCCUGCGCCGCCUGCUCGGGCAGCCCCGGCGGCUCCGAGACUUGCUGUGCGCGCCGAGGAAGGCAAGCUCCGAACCUGUGCCUGGCAGACGGACUGUCGCGGCUGCACCGCCAGCAGGAGGAGGAGGAGAAGAAACUAUUUCGCCCGCCGAAACCCCAUUCUGCGGGUGCUUCGCCGCUGCCGCUUCUGCUGCCGCCGAUCCGCGUCCGCGGGUUCAAACACCGCAGCGGCGGGGGCCGUGGGUCCGGCGGGCGCCGCGAGGAGCACGCCGGCGGAGUCCUGCACUCCGGUGCCCCGCUCACCAGCACCUCCUUGCCCCCUCGUUCCUUCCCCAGCCCUUUAGAGAGGGACCAUGAUUUGGAAACGCAGCGCCGUUCUCCGCUUCUACAGUGUCUGCGGGCUCCUGCUACAAGUGUGUGAGAGCCUGGGAGCGAGCUACCGAGACGGCGAGAGCAGCAGCAGCGGCGGCACCGUGUGCAUUGCAAUAACAUCCCCGGGGGGGAAUGUGUUGUGAGACGUGUCAUUCACCUAGGAAGAGAGGGGACUGUCUCUGGGAUUUAAAAAAAGAAAGAAAGAGAAAAGAAA